AUGAUGCUGAGACCUUAAUGGACAGAAUCAAGAAACAGCUACGUGAAUGGGAUGAAAAUCUAAAAGAUGAUUCUCUUCCUUCAAAUCCAAUAGAUUUUUCUUACAGAGUAGCUGCUUGUCUUCCUAUUGAUGAUGUAUUGAGAAUUCAGCUCCUUAAAAUUGGCAGUGCUAUCCAGCGACUUCGCUGUGAAUUAGACAUUAUGAAUAAAUGUACUUCCCUUUGCUGUAAACAAUGUCAAGAAACAGAAAUAACAACCAAAAAUGAAAUAUUCAGUUUAUCCUUAUGUGGGCCGAUGGCAGCUUAUGUGAAUCCUCAUGGAUAUGUGCAUGAGACACUUACUGUGUAUAAGGCUUGCAACUUGAAUCUGAUAGGCCGGCCUUCUACAGAACACAGCUGGUUUCCUGGGUAUGCCUGGACUGUUGCCCAGUGUAAGAUCUGUGCAAGCCAUAUUGGAUGGAAGUUUACGGCCACCAAAAAAGACAUGUCACCUCAAAAAUUUUGGGGCUUAACGCGAUCUGCUCUGUUGCCCACGAUCCCAGACACUGAAGAUGAAAUAAGUCCAGACAAAGUAAUACUUUGCUUGUAAACAGAUGUGAUAGAGAUAAAGUUAUCUAACAAAUUGGUUAUAUUCUAAGAUCUGCUUUGGAAAUUAUUGCCUCUGAUACAUACCUAAGUAAACAUAACAUUAAUACCUAAGUAAACAUAACAUUACUUGGAGGGUUGCAGUUUCUAAGUGAAACUGUAUUUGAAACUUUUAAGUAUACUUUAGGAAACAAGCAUGAACGGCAGUCUAGAAUACCAGAAACAUCUACUUGGGUAGCUUGGUGCCAUUAUCCUGUGGAAUCUGAUAUGUCUGGUAGCAUGUCAUUGAUGGGACAUGAAGACAUCUUUGGAAAUGAUGAGAUUAUUUCCUGUGUUAAAAAAAAAAAAAAUCUUAAAUUCCUACAAUGUGAAACUGAAACUAAUAAUUUGAUCCUGAUGUAUGGGACAGCGUAUCUGUACCAGUGCUCUAAAUAACAAAAGCUAGGGUGACAAGUACAUGUUCCUUUUGGAAAGAAGCAAGGCAAUGUAUAUUAAUUAUUCUAAAAGGGCUUUGUUCCUUUCCAUUUUCUUUAACUUCUCUGAGAUACUGAUUUGUAAAUUUUGAAAAUUAGUUAAAAUAUGCAGUUUUUUGAGCCCACGAAUAGUUGUCAUUUCCUUUAUGUGCCUGUUAGUAAAAAGUAGUAUUGUGUAUUUGCUCAGUAUCUGAACUAUAAGCCCAUUUAUACUGUUCCAUACAAAAGCUAUUUUUCAAAAAUUAAUUUGAACCAAAACUACUACUAUAGGGAAAAGAUGCCAAAACAUGUCCCCUCACCCAGACUAAACUUGAUACUGUAUUAUUUUGUUCAAUGUAAAUUGAAGAAAAUCUGUAAGUAAGUAAACCUUAAGUGUGAAAC
Molecule: long non-coding RNA, 1437 nt
Filed under: Homo sapiens (human)
Lineage: Eukaryota; Metazoa; Chordata; Mammalia; Primates; Hominidae
Description: long non-coding RNA NONHSAT195345.1
Source: RNAcentral